UAUACUGUGAAACUGCGAAUGGCUCAUUAAAUCAGUUAUCGUUUAUUUGAUAGUACCUUUACCUGGAUAACCGUGGUAAUUCUAGAGCUAAUACAUGCUAAAAACCUCGACUUCGGAAGGGGUGUAUUUAUUAGAUAAAAAACCAAUGCCCUUCGGGGCUCCUUGGUGAAUCAUAAUAACUUAACGAAUCGCAUGGCCUUGCGCCGGCGAUGGUUCAUUCAAAUUUCUGCCCUAUCAACUUUCGAUGGUAAGAUAGAGGCUUACCAUGGUCUUAACGGGUAACGGGGAAUUAGGGUUCUAUUCCGGAGAGGGAGCCUGAGAAACGGCUACCACAUCCAAGGAAGGCAGCAGGCGCGCAAAUUACCCAAUCCCGACACGGGGAGGUAGUGACAAUAAAUACUGAUACGGGGCUCUUUUGGGUCUCGUAAUUGGAAUGAGUACAAUCUAAAUCCCUUAACGAGGAACAAUUGGAGGGCAAGUCUGGUGCCAGCAGCCGCGGUAAUUCCAGCUCCAAUAGCGUAUAUUAAAGUUGUUGCCGUUAAAAAGCUCGUAGUUGAACCUUGGGCCUGGCUGACCUGUCCUCCUAAUCGAGCGCACGGGUUCGGUCGGGCCUUUCCUUCUAGGGAACCCCAUGCCCUUCACUGGGUGUGGUGGGGAACUAGGACUUUUAC
This 671-nucleotide ribosomal RNA is filed under the name Chaetothyriales sp. RNAcentral describes it as "SSU rRNA". It matches the Rfam family "Eukaryotic small subunit ribosomal RNA", at positions 75 to 755 of the family's 1831-position model. Lineage: Eukaryota; Fungi; Ascomycota; Eurotiomycetes; Chaetothyriales. The record is from RNAcentral.